RNAcentral lists this long non-coding RNA (1102 nucleotides) under Homo sapiens (human). The record is from RNAcentral. Lineage: Eukaryota; Metazoa; Chordata; Mammalia; Primates; Hominidae.
ACUUCUGUUCCUCCCCGCCCUGGUGCUGCUCCGGGUCACAUACUCGUCCUGAGCCGGCUUCAGCCUCUCCGCGCAGAAGUCUCCCGGAGCCGACUUCUGAGAGUCGAGUACUCCUAUGUGAAGACUACCAAGCUCGUGUUCAAGGGAACCAAGGCGAAGAGGCGAGAUGGAAAGAAAGUAUCAAGGAGUGAGCUGAAGCCACUGCCCUUGAGAACCCUCUCGAGGAGUCUGGGCUCAUGAGGAUGCCAGAAUAAGUGGCAGGUAUAUCCUGAAUGAAUGUGAGAUUUUUACUCUGUGAAUUUCCUGUGAGGAGUGUAAGAAGAAAAAGAACAAAGAUAAGAAAAGAAAAAGAGAAGAAGAUGAAGAAACCCAGCUUGAUAUGUUGGAAUCUGGUGGACAGUAACAAACUUUGGUGAAAUUUCAGGAACCAUAGCCAUUGAAAUGGAUGAGGGAACCUAUAUACAUGCACUCGAUAAUGGUCUUUUUACCCUGGGAGCUCCACACAAAGAAGUUGAUGAGGGCCCUAGUCCUCCAGAGCAGUUUUCGGCUGUCAAAUUAUCUGAUUCCAGAAUCACCCUGAAAUCUGGCUAUGGAAAAUAUCUUGGUAUAAAUUCAGAUGAACUUGUUGUUGGGCGUUCAGAUGCAAUUGGACCAAGAGAACAAUGGGAACCAGUCUUUAAAAUUGGGAAAAUGGCUUUGUCGACCUCAAAUAGCUGCUUUAUUAGAUACAGUGAAGCAGAGGACAUAGAAGCAAAAAGUAAAACAGCAGGAGAAGAAGAAAUGAUCAAGAUUAGAUCCUGUGCUGAAAGAGAAACCAAGAAAAAAGAUGACAUUCCAGAAGAAGACAAAGGAAAUAUAAAACAAUGUGAAAUCAAUUACGUAAAGAAAUUUCAGAGCUUCCAAGACCACAAACUUAAAAUAAGUAAAGAAGAGAGUAAAAUUCUUAAAAAGGCUCAGAAAGAUGGAUUUUUGCAUGAAACGCUUCUGGACAGAGAACCAAAUUGAAAGCCGACAGAUACUGCAGAUGACUGGGAUUUUUGUUUCUGUCUUACCUUUUUGUGUUUUUUUUCUGAAUAAAAUAUUCAGAGGAAAUGCUUUUACA